AUAAAAAGCAAACUCUCAUAGUUCGGAGCCCAGCUCCAACAACUUCUUCGUAAGUGAGGUGAGGUACUUCUUUUGGUUUGAAUAGGGGGUCGCCCUUUUUUUGGUUGAAGUAGCCACGACUUUGGUCGUAGUCAGCUUAAACCCAUAAACCCAGUCCACUUGCAGCCAUGUUGAUCAAAAUGACUAAGUUUAAUGACUUGACCAGUCACUAGCCCUCGUAUUAUAAGAUUCUCUCACCCUGUGGUCGACAUUCCAUUCCCCUUAGUCGUAGGUGCUCGUUCUAUUUUGAUUUGAAUGGGCCGGGGCUCCCGAGGUACAUAUGGCCGGCCCUUCGG
This 335-nucleotide long non-coding RNA is filed under the name Nicotiana benthamiana. RNAcentral describes it as "long non-coding RNA (NBEN_LNC007201)". Lineage: Eukaryota; Viridiplantae; Streptophyta; Magnoliopsida; Solanales; Solanaceae. The record is from RNAcentral.